GGGCAACAGGUCCUACCUGUUCAGAGAGGUGGCCAGCUGUAGCCGGUUCUCAUGCACUGAGUACUGGAUCCUCAGAUUGAAGUGCUGGUGUGAGGAGGAAGCAGAGCGAAAGCACAGGUCCCUACCAAGAGCAGCACUGCCAAGGCAAGCUGACCUGGAGAAGGAACGCCUGGGGAGCCCAGACCAAGAUCUACACCUUCCAGUGCCUGCAGCUCUCAGCGUGAGGUCGAGUGCUAAGAAAAUGUGGAUGCACGGAAAAGCAGGAAGGCAGAGGGCAAAACUGAUAGAUGCAGUGGACAAGAGGGGUGCUACGUGGAUGGCAGUAAGAGACAGGCAUUUGCUGUUUGGAAGGACAAAACCAGGCUGUUAUUCUCGGAAGCUGGAUGGAUGAGUGGGUGCCAGAGGAGAUGGGUGGCCAAAACAGGACCACUGUUAAACCCUGCUGGGAGAAGAGAUCACAAAGGGAUGACUUCUUAGAAGUUUUUUCCCCUACUCCUGGAAGAUAUAUCUCACCUCAUCUCCUAGGACUCUGGAGACCUGAAUGAGGACCCAACUCUGCCCCCAGUUCACGGUGGUCCCUAGCCAAGCCCUCCCUCUCCUGAGCCCCAGGGGCCCCACAUGACUGUACAAUGACCAGAUACAAGUGGCAAGCCCCUCUCACUGGGAAAAGCAAUACCCAUGGGAGAAGUGUGAGGGUAAAGUUGGCACCCCCAAAUCAGCUGGUGGACUCAAGAUUUAUGCUUAAAGCAGAAAUCUAGAGAUGUCAGGGAACACUGUCAUGGAAGGCCUGGCCUCCCAGCCCAAAAGCCCAUCCAGCCGCCUGUCCUAGGAGGCAGCUUCCCCCAGCCAUGAGCCCAAGCUCCUGUCCCCCAGGCCCUGGAACUUACACUAAAGUCCACCUGGACAUGGCUGGCUGUUGUGGUGGGUGUGGAUGCCAAAGCAUAUUUGAUGGUGCCCAUACGGCCCACAGGCAUGGGGUCUGUGAAGCAGAGAUUCUGCUCAGAGAGGUGCCUACUCCAGGGAAGACAGAGAGGCCUUCACCAACCAACUGCUCCCUGAUCCUGUGCCUCUUUGUGACCCAAGACUUCAGCUACAGCAUGGAGGCUCAGGGGCCUGGCCUGGACAUCACACUGCUCUGCAGGGACAGAGCCGCACACUCUCCAAGGGAGUCACAGCACGGACUGAAGCAGAGUGACGGGCUGGAGCAUUGGCUGUCUUACAGAUGAACAAACCAAGGCUCAGAGGAGAGAAGGGACUUUCCAGGCCACAUUGCCAAGGAUAUGAACCAGGUUUUUCUGUCCCAGCUUCUGGGAUAUACUUUUUCCCACACUGGGGAGGCCUGUGGACCCCAAAAUGGUGGAAGUAAAAGGUCCCCUUGGU
Chinchilla lanigera (long-tailed chinchilla) is the source of this 1380-nucleotide long non-coding RNA. RefSeq lists it as uncharacterized. The record is from RefSeq and is a predicted model, not a curated record. NCBI's taxonomy places the organism in Eukaryota, Metazoa, Chordata, Mammalia, Rodentia, Chinchillidae. The transcript is spliced from 4 exons.